GAUGAUGUAGCUAGCACUUUUGGGUGCUUUAAGGUAAAAAAAGUACCUUCCUUUCAGGCGAUAAUGGUGUAAACUGAAACAUUGUCGACCCACCUAUUCUGUUUGCUGAUUGAUGCUAAUUCAGAAUGGGCCAGUAUCAAAGCUACUGUCGUGUCAGAACAACAAUUGCAGCUCUAGGUUUGCUGCGCUGUGAAGGCCCCACCCUGCUUCUGUUGCUGGGGACAGCAUCUUAGCCUUGUCCUGCAAUAGUCCCCUUCGUGAAUUUGACCAGAAACAGACUGUCGUUUGGCAUGAUUAAAUUUGCCUGGAUCAGCAGGAACCGCAGGAACAGAUUAACUUCAAACUGCGGGGGAGCCUUAUGGUACGUUACUGCACUUGAAAGCAUUAAAACCAACUGCUCUACAGAACACCUGUUGAGAAUAUUAGGCGGGUUUUUGUAUGAUGCCUGGGGAGCAUGAAAAUAACCUGUGCAUGCUUUGACAUAUGGACCGGUCCUCUGCCAGCCGUUCUAACAUCUCACCAGGUUCUCUGGCUUAGGUCUUUGCAAAGCCUGCUACUCUUGUGGGAAGAGCAGCUAUAUGAUAGAGCAUCUGCCUCACAGGUUCGAUCCCUCGCAUUUCCAGGUAGGGCUGGGAAGACUUCCUGCCUUAAACCCUGGAGAGCUGUUGCCAGUCAGUGUAGACAGUACCAGUGGUUUGAUCCGGUAUAAGGGAGCUUCCUAUGUACUACCACUAUCACAGUAGUUGGGACUUCACUGCUACAUUGACCAUGAACACGAAUUGUUAUGUACCGAAGUUCUCACCCUGGGCCAGCAGGGGGAUACUGUAGAUAGUUAUGCAAAUAAGGGAUCGAAAGUGACGUUCAGUGAUUGGAUAGUUUUAGAAAAUUGUUACAGUUACAUUGUAGUGGAGCUCUAUAUAAGCAGGCUGACUGAAACCUUCAGUUCAGUUCUGUCCUGGCCUGUGAAUAAACAAGAGCUGUUUGAAGAAUCGCUGUGUCGUCUGAUAUGUUCACCCACAACUUAACACAAAUGCCACAUACAAAGAGAUCCCUCAGUCAUGGGCUAGAUGAGCCAUUAGGGAAGUUAUUUUUCCCUGCACCUGCCACCUGUCAUAGAUAGAUAGAUAGAUAGAUAGAUAGAUAGAUAGAUAGAUGGAUGGAUAUAUUUUCAUUGGCCUCCUGACUAAGUCUUCUGUAUCUGCCCAAGGUUGCAUCGCUCCUGGUGAGCAUAUGCAAAAUAAUCAUCUACUUUCAACUGAAGGCAGAGAUGGAUGAGGGGGACCUGUGGCACUCUGGACAUUGCUGGACUCCAACUCCCAUCAGCCCCUGCCAGCACAAGCAAGGGAUGAUGGGAGUUGGAGUUCAACAGCACCUGGGAAAAGUUGCAGUUUCCUCAUCACUAAGGCUGCUUGGAACUAGGCACAGAUUUUCUUGUGAAAAAAAACACCAAAACGAAACCUGCAGCUGUGUGUUUAUCCUGGAAAUUACUCUUUUUAGAAAUCAUAGGCUGAAAUAAGUAUAUAGCAAAAGCUAGCAUUUCCCAAGAAAAUAAUUCCCCCUUCUUUGAUUUAAAUCAUUCUGUAGGUAAUUAUAAACCAAUUUGGAACCUGAAAGAUAAGCAACUUCUUCAGUGUUCUUGGAAUACUAGAAAUUAGCCCCAUUUGUGAUUAGGUUUGCAUUUUCUCUCGAUAAAUUUCAGCCACCUUUUCUACUCUGGGCUAUAUUUCUGCUGUGUACUUAGACUGGUUUAACACGUUCUCCUGAGAGCUGAGGUUUUGUACAAGGUUGGGAGGGGGAGGGACUUAUUAACAGAACAUUCACCUCUACUCCUGGCUGCCAUUUCCCAGGAUCCUUUGAGAGGGGAAGCCAUGACAGUUACUCUGCCAUGAAACUGGCGUAGGGUUGACCAUGUAGAUAGGCCCAAUUGUUCUAUCAAGCUCAUUUGUGCAGGAUUUAAGUGCAAUAGAAGCAGGUUCAUGUUCUUAACAGCCUGAAUAUAAGGGGAAAUGUCUUUAUUAUGUAUGUAGUUAUAAGGGCAUCUAUUUUGUGCAUGGAAAACGUUGCAAUUGUGAAUUAUCAUAUGUUUUCUGUUAGAUGCAUUGCUUAAACCAUUGCAGGUUUAUAUACAUGAAAGCUGUUGAGAAGGAACUUAAAUCUUUCACGGCUGUUAAACGUGUCUCAUAAUUUGUUGUUGUUAAGAAUAGCAUUUAAUCUGCUUACUUCUUUAAAAAUGGCGUAAACUUGGUUUUAUAUACAUGAAGGGAUCCUUCCAGAGUGCUAAAACUAUUUAUAUGCCAAUUUUCAUACUUCCCCACUGAUGACCCACAAUGCUGUUACUUCUGUCAGUUGAAAUAAACGUGGUCCUCUCGUCU
Podarcis lilfordi (Lilford's wall lizard) is the source of this 2372-nucleotide non-coding RNA. NCBI's taxonomy places the organism in Eukaryota, Metazoa, Chordata, Lepidosauria, Squamata, Lacertidae. The record is from the annotation of a GenBank genome assembly.